RNAcentral lists this transfer RNA (74 nucleotides) under bacterium. RNAcentral's name for it is "tRNA-His". It matches the Rfam family "tRNA". Rfam says of the family: Transfer RNA (tRNA) molecules are approximately 80 nucleotides in length. Their secondary structure includes four short double-helical elements and three loops (D, anti-codon, and T loops). The record is from RNAcentral.
GCGGCCGUAGUUCAAUGGUAGAACGUCGGGUUGUGGUCCCGAUAACGCGGGUUCGAUCCCCGUCGGUCGCCCCA